RNAcentral lists this ribosomal RNA (263 nucleotides) under uncultured bacterium. Its description in RNAcentral is "partial 16S ribosomal RNA". It matches the Rfam family "Bacterial small subunit ribosomal RNA", at positions 91 to 354 of the family's 1533-position model. The record is from RNAcentral.
CCGACCGGCGCACGGGUGAGUAACACGUAUGGAACCUGCCCGCAGCAGGGGGAUAAGCGGAAGAAAUUCCGUCUAAUACCGCGUAACACCGCAGAGGGGCAUCCCUCGGCGGUUAAAGAUUCAUCGGCUGCGGAUGGCCAUGCGGCGCAUUAGCUAGUCGGCGGGGUAACGGCCCACCGAGGCGACGAUGCGUAGGGGUUCUGAGAGGAAGGUCCCCCACACUGGUACUGAGACACGGACCAGACUCCUACGGAAGGCAGCAG